Clupea harengus (Atlantic herring) is the source of this 118-nucleotide long non-coding RNA. RefSeq lists it as uncharacterized. The record is from RefSeq and is a predicted model, not a curated record. The transcript is spliced from 3 exons. NCBI's taxonomy places the organism in Eukaryota, Metazoa, Chordata, Actinopteri, Clupeiformes, Clupeidae.
CAAAAGCUUUGCAUUACUCCUCUAACAGCUGCCAAGGCAUGCAGGGGGUAUGUGUGGAGAAGGCCCCCUCAUGCAGGGUGUGUGUGUGGAGAAGGCCCCCUCAUGCAGGGUGUGUGUG